Molecule: ribosomal RNA, 448 nt
Filed under: uncultured bacterium
Lineage: Bacteria
Description: bacterial SSU rRNA
Rfam family: Bacterial small subunit ribosomal RNA
Source: RNAcentral
GGCCAGACUCCUACGGGAGGCAGCAGUGGGGAAUAUUGCGCAAUGGGGGAAACCCUGACGCAGCAACGCCGCGUGAGUGAGGAAGUAUCUCGGUAUGUAAAGCUCUAUCAGCGGGGAAGAAGGAAGACGGUACCCGACUAAGAAGCCCCGGCUAACUACGUGCCAGCAGCCGCGGUAAUACGUAGGGGGCAAGCGUUAUCCGGAUUUACUGGGUGUAAAGGGAGCGUAGACGGCUGCGCAAGUCAGAAGUGAAAGCCCGGGGCUCAACCGCGGGACUGCUUUUGAAACUGUGUAGCUAGAGUGCAGGAGAGGUAAGUGGAAUUCCUAGUGUAGCGGUGAAAUGCGUAGAUAUUAGGAGGAACACCGGUGGCGAAGGCGGCUUACUGGACUGUAACUGACGUUGAGGCUCGAAAGCGUGGGGAGCAAACAGGAUUAGAUACCCCGGUAU